GAAAUGCGAUAAGUAAUGUGAAUUGCAGAAUUCCGUGAAUCAUCGAAUCUUUGAACGCACAUUGCGCCCUUUGGUAUUCCAAAGGGCAUGCCUGUUCGAGCGUCAUUUGUACCCUCAAGCUUUGCUUGGUGUUGGGCGUCUUGUCUCUAGCUUUGCUGGAGACUCGCCUUAAAGUAAUUGGCAGCCGGCCUACUGGUUUCGGAGCGCAGCACAAGUCGCACUCUCUAUCAGCAAAGGUCUAGCAUCCAUUAAGCCUUUUUUUCAACUUUUGACCUCGGAUCAGGUAGGGAUACCCGCUGAACUUAAGC
This 308-nucleotide unclassified non-coding RNA is filed under the name plant metagenome. Its description in RNAcentral is "partial contains 5.8S ribosomal RNA, internal transcribed spacer 2, and large subunit ribosomal RNA". The stretch from base 1 to 105 matches the Rfam family "5.8S ribosomal RNA", at positions 50 to 154 of the family's 154-position model. The record is from RNAcentral.